UACGUAGGGUGCAAGCGUUAAUCGGAAUUACUGGGCGUAAAGCGUGCGCAGGCGGUCUGUUAAGUCAGAUGUGAAAUCCCCGGGCUUAACCUGGGAACUGCAUUUGAAACUGGCAGGCUUGAGUCUUGUAGAGGGGGGUAGAAUUCCAGGUGUAGCGGUGAAAUGCGUAGAGAUCUGGAGGAGUACCGGUGGCGAAGGCGGCCCCCUGGACAAAGACUGACGCUCAGGUGCGAAAGCGUGGGGAGCAAACGGG
This 253-nucleotide ribosomal RNA is filed under the name uncultured bacterium. RNAcentral describes it as "partial 16S ribosomal RNA". It matches the Rfam family "Bacterial small subunit ribosomal RNA", at positions 524 to 776 of the family's 1533-position model. The record is from RNAcentral.